RNAcentral lists this ribosomal RNA (397 nucleotides) under Theileria bicornis. Its description in RNAcentral is "partial small subunit ribosomal RNA". It matches the Rfam family "Eukaryotic small subunit ribosomal RNA", at positions 637 to 1056 of the family's 1831-position model. Lineage: Eukaryota; Apicomplexa; Aconoidasida; Piroplasmida; Theileriidae. The record is from RNAcentral.
AAUUUCUGCUGCUCCGCAUUCGUUCCUUUUUUGGUUUCGUUUGCGUUGUGGCUUUUUUCUGGUUGAUUUGGCUUCGGCCUUUUUUUCCAGAUUUUUUACUUUGAGAAAAUUAGAGUGCUUCAAGCAGGCUUUUGCCUUGAAUACUUUAGCAUGGAAUAAUAAAGUAGGACUUUGGUUCUAUUUUGUUGGUUUUCGAACCAAAGUAAUGGUUAAUAGGAACAGUUGGGGGCAUUCGUAUUUAACUGUCAGAGGUGAAAUUCUUAGAUUUGUUAAAGACGAACUACUGCGAAAGCAUUUGCCAAGGAUGUUUUCAUUAAUCAAGAACGAAAGUUAGGGGAUCGAAGACGAUCAGAUACCGUCGUAGUCCUAACCAUAAACUAUGCCGACUAGAGAUUGG